This 814-nucleotide small RNA is filed under the name Histoplasma capsulatum. RNAcentral describes it as "hypothetical RNA". RNAcentral also lists the same sequence under 1 other name. The record is from RNAcentral. Lineage: Eukaryota; Fungi; Ascomycota; Eurotiomycetes; Onygenales; Ajellomycetaceae.
CUCUAAUUAUCCAUAGUAUGUUCUGCUUAUAGCCCACCAACCCGCAGCCACCAACCACGGCAAAAACGGGAGUGCGAAAAGAAGCAAAAAGGGCGCAUCAUCACUCCGGGUGUUGGUCAGCGGGUGAUUUCAUCAUCAUGCAUCGUCCCUGUUGGCUUCUUCUUUCCGCAUUACGAUUCCCCCCGCCCCCUACACUUUUUACAAAAACCGAAAAGCUCCGCCAAUUGAGAAAGGGGGAAAAGUCAGAGGAGUGAGAAAGUACAUGACAUUACAACCCAGAAACAAGAAAAAAGCAAGCAGAAGAGGUUGUUGUUGAUCGGUGUUUAGUUGGAACAGUUUGCAAAAAGCACUCACGGGAUCUGAUCUAGCCAUGUGGAUUUCAACCCAUAGCAAAAACUCCCAAAGGCCCCUCCCUGUUCAAUGAAUCCCGUGUACCCCUGAGCAACUUGUUUUCCAUCCCGCUACUUCCGAAUGACGCUGCGUUCAAUAUAGGAUUUGAAGCGAUUGCUAUGAAUAGUUAGUGGUAGUAUUUUCGAGAUUCUAGCUUGAACUAGCAUCGUAUGGCGGGCCCAAUCAUCCAAUCAGCGAACGAUACAAUAUGGCACCGGUCUCUAACCCGAUGCUGAGCUUCCUUGCUACUUACUAGUCGAUAUGCCAGAUGAUAGACGACUGUUGCAGAGCGGAAGAAGGGUCGUCGAAAUAUCUGCUGCAGUUCGUUUGCGUCGUGGGCGGCUAUAUUAUUGAAUUAAAAUUUAUUUACAUUGUGUCUUCGGCUCAGAGCCUCCAAUCCACCUAUUCCGUCAUGAUCACCACU